GUGGGUUUAGCUCAGUGGCAGAGCACGUGCUUAGCAAUGCAUGAGGUCCUGGGUUCAAUCACCAGUACCUCCA
This 73-nucleotide transfer RNA is filed under the name Camelus bactrianus (Bactrian camel). It matches the Rfam family "tRNA". Rfam says of the family: Transfer RNA (tRNA) molecules are approximately 80 nucleotides in length. Their secondary structure includes four short double-helical elements and three loops (D, anti-codon, and T loops). RNAcentral also lists the same sequence under 1 other name. Lineage: Eukaryota; Metazoa; Chordata; Mammalia; Artiodactyla; Camelidae. The record is from Rfam by way of RNAcentral.